Long non-coding RNA from Lolium rigidum, 672 nucleotides. RefSeq lists it as uncharacterized. The record is from RefSeq and is a predicted model, not a curated record. Lineage: Eukaryota; Viridiplantae; Streptophyta; Magnoliopsida; Poales; Poaceae. The transcript is spliced from 3 exons.
GUGUGCCAUCGUAACCGAUAGGAGUAGCGCUAGUCACUGUUCUGCUAGGAGGAGCGCCGUCACCAUUGGCAGCAGCCAUCCUCACAUUCGAUUGCAGGUCAAGGGGUUUCUAUGGUGAAUGAUAUAAAGACUAUUGAGGGGGCUAGAAGUCAUACAGAUAAGACAUCAGAUUUCAGUGUGUGUAUGCAAUCGAAGAAUUCCCCAUCCUUCACAUCAGAUUUUGCAUUGCUUGAUCUGUAGGGGAAUAAAAGAAAGACAAGGUAACUAUUUCGAAUGUAUUUCCAUUCAACUUUUUGUGCUACCUGAAUGUUCUCUAAUGUGAUCUGAUGGUGGGAAUGCAUGCACUGGUCCGUUUGGUGCUUAGCUUGCGCACACUUGUUCCAUAAACGAUUUUGGUAUUCUGCAUUUAUUUUCUUGCUUACUUCCAUUUUUGAGCAGCUCAUACAUAGGACAAGAAGUACAUGAUAUUAAGAUGUGAGAUUAAUAUUGAUGGAAUAACAUCCAAUCAUGCGAUAAAUGCCUUUCGGUCAUCUUGCUGAAGAUAUGCUACGAAAGUAGGCUGCUAUUAUGGUUAUAGAAUCUUAUGCAUAUUAGAUUCUUUUGUUUAUACCUACACAGUUGGCUUUUAUGGUUUUUUGAACUAUGGACACUGAUUGAUUUAGCUAAUAAGAU